GAUUUCUGCCUGUGAGGGUGCCCUGUGAAGAUUGCAAUGUGAUACAUGAUGUCAGAGGAAUUGUCCUGGUCUCUUGUCAUUCCCCAGCUCUGGAAGGAGCAGAUGGAUGUGGGCUCACAUGUGACAUGGAUACUGUAUCCAGCUUCUCCCCAGGACCCCUGGACUCUCUCUGUCCCCACUGAGGGGAAACUUUACCAGGAAAACGUCUCCCUUUAAUGAGGAGCCCGGGAAGGAAGGAGCUGUCUGUCCGAGGAUGGGGGACGGUCGGGGGUCUGGUGCCAGCUGUCCCCCUGCGGUGGCCGAUCAGAUCGAGGUGUCAGAGUCGGUGGAUUGCCUGCCCAUGGCUGUGGAAGAUGUAAAUAGACAUAGCUUCUUCCUAUUUACACACUAAGUUUAGCUAAGCCGGGGGGAGGGGGGCUUUUAAACUCUGCUAUUUAAAUCCAAGGCUGUGAGAUCUCUGCAGGUUAAACUCUGCCAUUUAAAUCCCAGGUAUUGAGAUCUCUGCAGGUUAAACUCUGCCAUUUAAAUCCCAGGUAUUGAGAUCUCUGCAGGUCAAACUCUGCCAUUUAAAUCCCAGUUAGAGAGAUCUCUGCAGGUCAAACUCUGCCAUUUAAAUCCCAGGUAUUGAGAUCUCUGCAGGUUAAACUCUGCCAUUUAAAUCCCAGUUAGAGAGAUCUCUGCAGGUCAAACUCUGCCAUUUAAAUCCCAGUUAGAGAGAUCUCUGCAGGUCAAACUCUGCCAUUUAAAUCCCAGGUAUUGAGAUCUCUGCAGGUAAAACUCUGCCAUUUAAAUCCCAGGUAUUGAGAUCUCUGCAGGUCAAACUCUGCCAUUUAAAUCCCAGGUAUUGAGAUCUCUGCAGGUCAAACUCUGCCAUUUAAAUCCCAGGUAUUGAGAUCUCUGCAGGUCAAACUCUGCCAUUUAAAUCCCAGUUAGAGAGAUCUCUGCAGGUCAAACUCUGCCAUUUAAAUCCCAGUUAGAUAGAUCUCUGCAGGUCAAACUCUGCCAUUUAAAUCCCAGGUAUUGAGAUCUCUGCAGGUCAAACUCUGCCAUUUAAAUCCCAGUUAGAGAGAUCUCUGCAGGUCAAACUCUGCCAUUUAAAUCCAAGGCUGUGGGAUCUCUGCAGGUCAAACUCUGCCUUUUAAAUCCCAGGUAUUGAGAUCUCUGCAGGUUAAACUCUGCCAUUUAAAUCCCAGUUAGAGAGAUCUCUGCAGGUUAAACUCUGCUAUUUAAAUCCAAGGCUGUGGGAUCUCUGCAGGUCAAACUCUGCCUUUUAAAUCCCAGGUAUUGAGAUCACAGCAGGUAAAACUCUGCCAUUUAAAUCCAAGGCUGUGGGAUCUCUGCAGGUCAAACUCUGCCUUUUAAAUCCCAGGUAUUGAGAUCACAGCAGGUAAAACUACCAUUUAAAUCCCGGACUGUGAGACCCAUGCAGGUUAAACUCUGCCAUUUGAAUCCCAGGCAGUGAGAUGCCAGCUCUGAUCUCCUGUAUAUUCACUCUGUUGAUGUAGGGAUAAUCAAGAGUGUGAGCAGAGCUGUGACUGUAUCACCACCAAACACCCAACAUGCUGGGAUCAGACUGCCUGCUGAACACCUGUUACAAAGUGUCUUCAAUGGAAUACAGGGAAAAUUACUGAUUGGAAUACAGGGAGAAUUACUGAUUGGAAUACAGGGAGAAUUACUGACUGGAAUACAGGGAGAAUUACUGAUUGGAAUACAGGGAGAAUUACUGAGUGGAAUACAGGGAGAAUUACUGAUUGGAAUACAGGGAGAAUUACUGACUGGAGUACAGGGAGAAUUACCGACUGGAAUACAGGGAGAAUUACUGAUUGGAAUACAGGGAGAAUUACUGACUGGAAUACAGGGAGAAUUACUGACUGGAAUACAGGGAGAAUUACUGAAUGGAAUACAGGGAGAAUUACCGAUUGGAAUACAGGGAGAAUUACCGACUGGAAUACAGGGAGAAUUACUGAUUGGAAUACAGGGAGAAUUACCGAGUGGAAUACAGGGAGAAUUACCGAGUGGAAUACAGGGAGAAUUACCGACUGGAGUACAGGGAGAAUUACCGACUGGAGUACAGGGAGAAUUACCGACUGGAGUACAGGGAGAAUUACCGACUGGAGUACAGGGAGAAUUACCGACUGGAAUACAGGGAGAAUUACCGAUUGGAAUACAGGGAGAAUUACUGACUGUAAUACGGGGCGACUGAUGGGAAUUAACGGCUGUAAUACGGGGCGACUGAUGGGAAUUACCGGCUGUAACACUGGGUGACUGAUGGGUUGCAGUGAAAGGAGGUUGUUACAGUGUAUAAUACAGGGUGACUGGCAAUAGUUACUGUGUGUAAUACGAAAAGUUGCGGUGUAUAAUACAGGGUGACGAGUGGUAGUUACAUCACACAAGACAAGUAGACUGGCAGUUGUUAUAGUGUGGAGUACAGUAUGACUGCUGGUAAUUCCAUUGUUUAAUAUAUGACUGUGGUGUGUAAUACAGAAUGACUAGUGGUUGCAACAAUGUUUAAUAUACGGUUUUAGAUAGUGCUCUGUUUUUUGUUUUUUGUUUUUAUCCCGAUUCCAAUACAAAUGUGCUCCCUAAGACUCAGUGUCUACAGAUAGCCUUAAUAAUAUCCAGUUUUAAAAUUUUGAGGGUGAAUUAUCUGUUUAAUAUUUUUGUAUCACCGUUAAAAAAAAAAAAAAAAGAAAGAAAAAGUAAAAUAAAUUUGCGCCAUUUCCAGGGAACGGCGCCGGGCUACUCCAACAAUAACAAUCCGAUGAUUAGAUACGAUUUAUGGUUAAAACAGCAAAAAAAAUGUAUCUCUAAGUCCGCUAUCAUUCCAGUUCUGCUACUUUUGCCUUGAAUGUGAUUAUUAUUAUUAUUAUUAUUAUUAUUAUUUCAUACUACUGUCAAUGGGUGAAAGGGAAAUUUAAGGACAACGUCUGAAGGGAACAUUGAAAUGAAGGCCGUUUUUCCGGCGCGGACAGCACUGUUUGCUCUCUACCAUCACUUUCCAUUUAAUAGGUCUAUGAUUCCCUGUGGUCUCAUGGUGGUUAUGGUGCGUGAUUCUUAAUGUGUUUAUGAAGUCAGAGUAGACGAGGUAACGAGUUAAUCGGCGAAGCGAACGGAAAUGGCUAUUAAUUAGUUAUUAAUGAGUUCUUCCUUUAUAAGCUACUAAGGAGUUGUUGCGUGUCAGUGUGGAGUGGGUUAUUUGUCUUUAAAAUUCUUCCUUUUUCCUCUCUUUUUUUUGCAUUCCGACCUUUCAGCAUUGGAGAGCGCUGUUUGAUGAG
RNAcentral lists this long non-coding RNA (3275 nucleotides) under Pelobates cultripes (western spadefoot toad). The record is from RNAcentral. Lineage: Eukaryota; Metazoa; Chordata; Amphibia; Anura; Pelobatidae.